This 19-nucleotide small nuclear RNA is filed under the name Arabidopsis thaliana (thale cress). RNAcentral describes it as "snRNA_16421". Lineage: Eukaryota; Viridiplantae; Streptophyta; Magnoliopsida; Brassicales; Brassicaceae. The record is from RNAcentral.
UCUCUAUUAUAGCAUUAAU